CUCAUUCUGUCUUGCCGCCACAAUGUAAGAAUUGUCUCUCACCCUCUGCCAUGUAAGAAUUCUCUUUCACCCUCUGCCGUGAUCGUGAGACCUUCCCCAGCCAUGUGAAACUGGUCUCACUCUGUCGCCCAGGCUGCAGUGCAGUGGUGUGAUCAUGGCUCACCGCAGCCUUGACCUCCUAGGCUCAAGCGAUCCUUUCACCUCAGCUUCCUAAGUAGCCAGGACUACAGUUUUCAGCUUUCCUCCACUGUUUUGGGAAACGUCACCUUCUUAUCUUGGAAGAGUAAUCUCAAAAUUGAAGCAUCUUAGAUCCAACAAGAAUUAAAAGGAUGGGAAGUCCUUGCAGCCAUCCAAUAGAGUCAGAAGACUUUGGAUUUUGGAGUCUGUGAGAUUAUCUUACAGAGCAAGACUGCAGAUCAAGAUUUUCCAACGUGGUGCUGACUUUUUUGAGAACAGUUAAUGAGAACUAGGAAAGUCCUUGCAGACCAUCCAGUCCAGCGGCUUUCAAAUGGAAAAUGUGAAAGGACAACAGAAUCACAUGGAUUCUUUUCUGAACUGCUUUUUUCCAGUGAUGCCAUAUUCUAUAAGACUUCAUGUGAAGGUGUGGAGGACGGGAUGUACUCACAUCCCAACAAAUUGAAAAUGCUGACCAAUCCCAGCACAGCCAACUCGAAUUUGCUCCUUCAUCAAAGUGACCAGCACCUCAUUUCUUCCUCUUUAGAAUUUAUAGUUCAGGAACUUUGCAGAUCUCUUAUUAACUCUUCAGUUAAUAAUGAGAGUCCUAUGGCUAUUGAUAUCUAACAUCCUGGCUUCACUCACAUGGAUGAGCCCCACCUGGAAUGCCUAGAAGACGUGGGACAGCUGGAUCUCUCUCCACACGGUUUUUCAU
This is a long non-coding RNA of Homo sapiens (human), 889 nucleotides long. NCBI's taxonomy places the organism in Eukaryota, Metazoa, Chordata, Mammalia, Primates, Hominidae. The record is from Ensembl.